UUGAAAGGGAAACGAUUGAAGUCAGUCGUACCAGCGGGAAAUCAACCUUUCGAGUGGGGUUUUGGAGUUUUGAAGAGUGUCAAAACCUUUGAGAUUUCAAAAUUUUCGCUCCUUUGGUGUACUUUCUCGUGGGUAGGUUAACAUCGAUUUCGAUCAUCAUAAAAGGAUUGGAGGAAUGUAGCUUCGAUCUUGUAUUGAAGUGUUAUAGCCUUUGGUAAAUGUGAUGAUUGGGAUCGAGGAUUGCAGCGAAUACCCUUUUGGGCUAUCCGCCUGAUCUCUGAUACGUGGCCUUGGCAUCGAAAGCUUGCUUAUGGUAUCAAGGUAUUACGGUCAAAAGGUUAGAACGGAUUACAUUCGUUAAGGAUGUUGACGUA
This 374-nucleotide ribosomal RNA is filed under the name uncultured Glomeromycotina. RNAcentral describes it as "LSU rRNA". The record is from RNAcentral. Lineage: Eukaryota; Fungi; Glomeromycota.